Acanthosepion pharaonis is the source of this 114-nucleotide non-coding RNA. The record is from the annotation of a GenBank genome assembly. NCBI's taxonomy places the organism in Eukaryota, Metazoa, Mollusca, Cephalopoda, Sepiida, Sepiidae.
UUACGGCCAUAUCACGUUGGAACUCCGGUUCCUGUACGAUCACAGAAGUUAACCAACGUCGAACCUGGUCAAUACCUAGAUGGGUGACCGUUUGGGAAUACCAUGUGCAGUAAG